UACGUAGGGACCAAGCGUUGUUCGGAUUUACUGGACGUAAAGGGCGCGUAGGCGGCAAUUCAAGUCAGCUGUGAAAUCUCCGGGCUUAACUCGGAACGGUCAGCUGAUACUGCUUUGCUAGAGUGCGGAAGGGGCAAUCGGAAUUCUCGGUGUAGCGGUGAAAUGCGUAGAUAUCGAGAGGAACACCUGAGGUGAAGACGGGUUGCUGGGCCGACACUGACGCUGAGGCGCGAAAGCCAGGGUAGCAAACGGG
Molecule: ribosomal RNA, 253 nt
Filed under: uncultured bacterium
Lineage: Bacteria
Description: partial 16S ribosomal RNA
Rfam family: Bacterial small subunit ribosomal RNA
Source: RNAcentral